Molecule: ribosomal RNA, 301 nt
Filed under: uncultured bacterium
Lineage: Bacteria
Description: partial 16S ribosomal RNA
Rfam family: Bacterial small subunit ribosomal RNA
Source: RNAcentral
CAGUAGCCACGGUAAUACAGAGGGUGCGAGCGUUAAUCGGAUUUACUGGGCGUAAAGCGUGCGUAGGCGGCUUCUUAAGUCGGAUGUGAAAUCCCUGAGCUUAACUUAGGAAUUGCAUUCGAUACUGGGAAGCUAGAGUAUGGGAGAGGAUGGUAGAAUUCCAGGUGUAGCGGUGAAAUGCGUAGAGAUCUGGAGGAAUACCGAUGGCGAAGGCAGCCAUCUGGCCUAAUACUGACGCUGAGGUACGAAAGCAUGGGGAGCAAACAGGAUUAGAGACCCCUGUAGUCCCUGUCUCUUAUAA